This 777-nucleotide ribosomal RNA is filed under the name uncultured bacterium. RNAcentral's name for it is "bacterial SSU rRNA". It matches the Rfam family "Bacterial small subunit ribosomal RNA", at positions 8 to 760 of the family's 1533-position model. The record is from RNAcentral.
AGAGUUUGAUCAUGGCUCAGAACGAACGCUGGCGGCGUGCUUAACACAUGCAAGUCGAACGCGAAAGUUUUCUUCGGAAGAUGAGUAGAGUGGCGCACGGGUGAGUAACGCGUAAAUAAUCUACCCCUGCAUCUGGGAUAACCCACCGAAAGGUGAGCUAAUGCCGGAUACGUUCUUUUAACCGCGAGGUUUUAAGAAGAAAGGUGGCCUCUGAUAUAAGCUACUGUGCGGGGAGGAGUUUGCGUACCAUUAGCUAGUUGGUAGGGUAAUGGCCUACCAAGGCAUCGAUGGUUAGCGGGUCUGAGAGGAUGAUCCGCCACACUGGAACUGGAACACGGACCAGACUCCUACGGGAGGCAGCAGUGAGGAAUAUUGCGCAAUGGGGGCAACCCUGACGCAGCGACGCCGCGUGGAUGAUGAAGGCCUUCGGGUCGUAAAAUCCUGUCAGAUGGAAAGAAAUGUAUAUGUAAUAAUACUAUGUAUGCUUGACGGUACCAUCAAAGGAAGCACCGGCUAACUCCGUGCCAGCAGCCGCGGUAAUACGGAGGGCGCAAGCGUUGUUCGGAAUUACUGGGCGUAAAGCGCGCGUAGGUGGUCUGUUAUGUCAGAUGUGAAAGUCCACGGCUCAACCGUGNAANUGCAUUUGAAACUGGCAGACUUGAGUACUGGAGGGGGUAGUGNAAUUCCCGGUGUAGANGUGAANUCGUANNUAUCGGNAGGAAUACCGGGUGGCGAANGCNACUACCUGGCNNGAUACUGACACUGAGGUGCGAAAGC